This 468-nucleotide ribosomal RNA is filed under the name uncultured bacterium. RNAcentral's name for it is "partial 16S ribosomal RNA". It matches the Rfam family "Bacterial small subunit ribosomal RNA", at positions 28 to 507 of the family's 1533-position model. The record is from RNAcentral.
GACGAACGCUGGCGGCGUGCUUAACACAUGCAAGUCGAACGGAAAGGCCCUGCUUUUGUGGGUUGCUCGAGUGGCGAACGGGUGAGUAACACGUGAGUAACCUGCCCCUGUCUUUGGGAUAACUUCUGGAAACUGGGGCUAAUACCGGAUAGGAGCUCCUGCUGCAUGGUGGGGGUUGGAAAGUUUCGGCGGUUGGGGAUGGACUCGCGGCUUAUCAGCUUGUUGGUGGGGUAGUGGCUUACCAAGGCUUUGACGGGUAGCCGGCCUGAGAGGGUGACCGGCCACAUGGGGACUGAGAUACGGCCCAGACUCCUACGGGAGGCAGCAGUGGGGAAUAUUGCACAAUGGGCGGAAGCCUGAUGCAGCAACGCCGCGUGCGGGAUGACGGCCUUCGGGGUGUAAACCGCUUUCGCCUGUGACGAAGCGUGAGUGACGGUAAUGGGUAAAGAAGCACCGGCUAACUACGUG